Molecule: ribosomal RNA, 253 nt
Filed under: uncultured bacterium
Lineage: Bacteria
Description: partial 16S ribosomal RNA
Rfam family: Bacterial small subunit ribosomal RNA
Source: RNAcentral
UACGGGGGGGGCAAGCGUUGUUCGGAAUUACUGGGCGUAAAGGGCGCGUAGGCGGCCAUCUAAGUCAGACGUGAAAUCCCUCGGCUCAACCGAGGAACUGCGUCUGAUACUGGAAGGCUUGAAUCCGGGAGAGGGAUGUGGAAUUCCAGGUGUAGCGGUGAAAUGCGUAGAUAUCGGGAGGAACACCUGUGGCGAAAGCGGCGCACUGGACCACAUCUGACGCUGAGGCGCGAAAGCUAGGGGAGCAAACAGG